Trypanosoma brucei brucei TREU927 is the source of this 106-nucleotide small nucleolar RNA. Lineage: Eukaryota; Euglenozoa; Kinetoplastea; Trypanosomatida; Trypanosomatidae. The record is from RefSeq and is a predicted model, not a curated record.
GUGACGAAUUUGAAGCCUCCGAGUCCGGAAAGAAGGAUCCUGACACUGAGGAUCAGAAAGAUACCGAGUCGGAGCGGUCCCGCUCAUCAUCGAAGAAGCCUGAGGA